Molecule: ribosomal RNA, 1270 nt
Filed under: Cleantis prismatica
Lineage: Eukaryota; Metazoa; Arthropoda; Malacostraca; Isopoda; Holognathidae
Description: eukaryotic LSU rRNA
Rfam family: Eukaryotic large subunit ribosomal RNA
Source: RNAcentral
CGCAUUACGGGGUGCCGCGUAUGGGAAGUUCGCAGAGCGGCUUACGGUUCGUUCAAGUAUUUAUUGAACAUAGUCCGAGUACCCAAAGAGGGUGUAAGGCCCGUUCGGCGAAUCGUAAGCGUCUCCGGCGUUCUUCUCGAGAGUCGGGUUGCUUGAAAAUGCAGCCCUAAGAGGUGGUAAACUCCAUCUAAGGCUAAAUACUUCCACGAGCCCGAUAGCGAACAAGUACCGCGAGGGAAAGUUGAAAAGAACUUUGAAGAGAGAGUUCAAUAGAGCGUGAAACUGCCACGAGGUUAAAGCGGAUGGACGGUCGUGGCAGAACGGGGGACUCAGGCCUCCAGUGGAAAGAGGGGCGGCGCGUUUAUUAAACGACCAGACACUCCUCCUCGCGGAUACUCUCCGCUUGGAGGUUGUUCUAGGCGUUGGACGCGAUCGUUUUGACCCCGAAGCUGGUUGGUUGUUUUUACCUUAGUAAGCCGUCGCGGUCGUUGUGGCGUUGUCGAGACCCUUUGGAGUUUUAUAUAAUGGGAACCGACCGUGAAAGCCUUUCCUCUCAUUGCGAUGAUCGCGCGAGUAUCGGUCGGGGACGCUCUAGGGUACGCGACGGACGCCUGCGACGAUUAAUGAUAACAGACGGAUCGGUUUUUUGUUGCGGGGAAGUAUUUUAGAGGGUUUCGGCCGCUUCGGCGUUUUACUACGUCGCGGCGAUCGUUUCCCUCUAUACUCCCGAUUACACGCUCCGAUCCGUGCGCGGCGCAUAAAAACGGCGCACGUCCNUCNGUCCCGUCUUGAAACACGGACCAAGGAGUCUAGCAAGUACGCGAGUCAUAAGGGUUUACUAAACCUUGUUGGCGCAACGAAAGUGAUGUGUGGUGUCGAGCGUUGGAGAGUAUAUAUAUAUAUUUAUAUGUGUGUGUAUUCCCCCUCUCUCGGCAUCUCUAGCACGGGGUUGGCGUUUUUUUAUUAAAACCUAACCUCAUUGGACCGAUCCCCCUUGUGUACUUCAAUUUUUGUUGUAAGAGUCUGGCUCUCCGGCCAGGCUUCGCGAAAACGAAUGCAUACUAAAUAAGGGGGCGCAGGUCCGGGGGCCCGCCAUUUUCUCCUCUCCUUCCCUCUCCUUUCUCGCAAGAGUCCGGAAAAAGGGGGGAGACGAAAGGCGGGUGCCAAGAGCGUACCUGCUAGUACCCGAAAGAUGGUGAUCUAUGCCUGGCCAGGAUGAAGCCAGAGGAAACUCUGGUGGAGGUCCGUAGCGGUUCUGACGUGCAAAUCG